GAUGAAGAACGCAGCGAAAUGCGAUAAGUAAUGUGAAUUGCAGAAUUCAGUGAAUCAUCGAAUCUUUGAACGCACAUUGCGCCCGCCAGUAUUCUGGCGGGCAUGCCUGUUCGAGCGUCAUUUCAACCAUCAAGCCCCCGGGCUUGUGUUGGGGACCUGCGGCUGCCGCAGGCCCUGAAAAGCAGUGGCGGGCGCGCUGUCACACCGAGCGUAGUAGCAUACAUCUCGCUCUGGGCGUGCUGCGGGUUCCGGCCGUUAAACCACCUUUUAACCCAAGGUUGACCUCGGAUCAGGUAGGAAGACCCGCUGAACUUAAGCAUAUCAAUAAGCGGAGGA
This 336-nucleotide unclassified non-coding RNA is filed under the name soil metagenome. RNAcentral's name for it is "partial contains 5.8S ribosomal RNA, internal transcribed spacer 2, and large subunit ribosomal RNA". The stretch from base 1 to 120 matches the Rfam family "5.8S ribosomal RNA", at positions 35 to 154 of the family's 154-position model. The record is from RNAcentral.